GUGCCAGCAGCCGCGGUAAUACGUACUGCGCGAACGUUAUUCGGAAUCACUGGGCUUACAGGGUGCGUAGGCGGCUUUUCAGGUCUGGUGUGAAAUCCCCCGGCUCAACCGGGGAAUGGCAUUGGAAACCGAAAGGCUUGAGGUAGCUAGAGGCAUGCGGAACUUCCGGUGGAGCGGUGAAAUGUGUUGAGAUCGGAAGGAACACCAGAGGCGAAAGCGGCAUGCUGGGGCUAUUCUGACGCUGAGGCACGAAAGCCAGGGGAGCGAACGGGAUUAGAUACCCCCGUAGUCC
RNAcentral lists this ribosomal RNA (292 nucleotides) under uncultured bacterium. RNAcentral describes it as "partial 16S ribosomal RNA". It matches the Rfam family "Bacterial small subunit ribosomal RNA", at positions 505 to 796 of the family's 1533-position model. The record is from RNAcentral.